AAGGAUUUAUGACCAGACUUUUUCUAAGCGGAUCAUCCGGUGUUCUCACCGGUGCACUUCGUUUAGUUUAGGCCAGCAUCGAUUUUCGGGGCAGGAUAAAAGCUUCAGGAAUGUGGCUCCUUUCGGGGAGUGUUAUAGCCUUUUGUAUAAUACCGCCCUGGGGAUCGAGGUACGCGCUUCUGCAAGGAUGCUGGCGUAAUGGUUAUCAAUCA
RNAcentral lists this ribosomal RNA (212 nucleotides) under Seimatosporium sp. Its description in RNAcentral is "partial large subunit ribosomal RNA". The record is from RNAcentral. Lineage: Eukaryota; Fungi; Ascomycota; Sordariomycetes; Amphisphaeriales; Sporocadaceae.